Molecule: ribosomal RNA, 465 nt
Filed under: Vreelandella stevensii
Lineage: Bacteria; Pseudomonadati; Pseudomonadota; Gammaproteobacteria; Oceanospirillales; Halomonadaceae
Description: partial 16S ribosomal RNA
Rfam family: Bacterial small subunit ribosomal RNA
Source: RNAcentral
CCUACGGGAGGCAGCAGUGGGGAAUAUUGGACAAUGGGGGGAACCCUGAUCCAGCCAUGCCGCGUGUGUGAAGAAGGCCCUCGGGUUGUAAAGCACUUUCAGUGAGGAAGAACGCCUGGUGGUUAAUACCCAUCAGGAAAGACAUCACUCACAGAAGAAGCACCGGCUAACUCCGUGCCAGCAGCCGCGGUAAUACGGAGGGUGCGAGCGUUAAUCGGAAUUACUGGGCGUAAAGCGCGCGUAGGCGGCUUGAUAAGCCGGUUGUGAAAGCCCCGGGCUCAACCUGGGAACGGCAUCCGGAACUGUCAAGCUAGAGUGCAGGAGAGGAAGGUAGAAUUCCCGGUGUAGCGGUGAAAUGCGUAGAGAUCGGGAGGAAUACCAGUGGCGAAGGCGGCCUUCUGGACUGACACUGACACUGAGGUGCGAAAGCGUGGGUAGCAAACAGGAUUAGAUACCCCGGUAGUC